RNAcentral lists this long non-coding RNA (280 nucleotides) under Volvox carteri. Its description in RNAcentral is "long non-coding RNA (VCAR_LNC000135)". The record is from RNAcentral. Lineage: Eukaryota; Viridiplantae; Chlorophyta; Chlorophyceae; Chlamydomonadales; Volvocaceae.
CGUUGAGGAGGUGGUGGCAGCGGCAGCGGCAGCGCCUGCCCCUGCGGCCGCGGAGGUGGUCGUUGAGGAGCCCAAGCCCCUCUUCAAUGUUAGCAGCUUCUUCAGUGGCUUCGCGAAGCGUGAAGAGCAGCAACGAGAGCCAGAGCCGGAGCCAGCACCGGCGCCGGCACCGGCACCGGAACCCGCAUUGGCAGUCGCUGCAGCCGCGCCGGCGCCCGUACCUGCCAAGGCCGAGGCGCCAGCACCCAAGCCCGCUGCGACUAAGCCGGCGCCACAGAAG